Molecule: small nuclear RNA, 300 nt
Filed under: Chinchilla lanigera (long-tailed chinchilla)
Lineage: Eukaryota; Metazoa; Chordata; Mammalia; Rodentia; Chinchillidae
Description: 7SK RNA (ENSCLAG00000022160.1)
Rfam family: 7SK RNA
About the family: 7SK was discovered as an abundant small nuclear RNA in the mid-70s but a possible function has only recently been suggested. Two independent studies have found that 7SK RNA binds the CDK9/cyclin T complex (known as elongation factor P-TEFb).
Source: RNAcentral
GGCUGUGUGGGUAAUCUGGUUGUGACAUCUGUCACCCUGCUGAGUACCAGAGUUGAUUCAGCUGAUCUGGGUGGCCAAGUGGGUGACCCUUUCCUGCCUCACGGCUCCGUAUGUGUCCCUCCCAAGGCUGUGUGACCUUCCCUGGAGGAGGAGAACCAUUCUUCAGGCAAGAGUACACCAGGAACUGUGUUCCCCUGCUAGAACCUCCAAACAAGUGUUCAGGGUCACAAGUUGUAUGAUUGCACUGAUAGGAAAUCUGCAGGGAAGAUCAGUCUGCACAGGCAGCAGAGUGGCAGUUUU